This 1587-nucleotide long non-coding RNA is filed under the name Sus scrofa (pig). RNAcentral describes it as "lncRNA (ENSSSCG00035003016.1, ENSSSCG00065054559.1)". Lineage: Eukaryota; Metazoa; Chordata; Mammalia; Artiodactyla; Suidae. The record is from RNAcentral.
CGUGCGCCAGGCGGUGCGGCGUCCACCGCGUCUCCCGGGACGACCUCGGGCGCUUCCCUCUCCCAGCGGUUAAUUGGAUUCGGGAGGGGGGAGUGUCAGUCUACCGCAGGGGCCAAUCGAAGGUCUGGAAAGCCCUAUAUGCAAAUAAGAGGGCCGGGCGGACCCCAAGUUAGGAGGGGCGCGGGUUGGGGUUAGAGGUUGUUUGGCAGCCAAUGGGAGGGUGUCUCCUUAAUCCUUCGAGGAGGGGACCCGCAAGUGUGGUUGCCAGCGGUACGGGCGGCAGAGCAGGGGCGAGAGGAAUCGCUGAGGGGAGCCAGUAUUUCCCCAGAGCUUCAGCCCAGGCAGGGGAGAUGCUCCAGUGCCUGCCUUCAGAAGGAGAGGAAGAGACAGACUCAGAAGAGAGGAGGGACAGUUCCAUAGAAGAUUCGAAAGAAAUCGUCACCCUGGCUUUUGUGAGAGAGAACACUGGGGAGCAAAAGGGACUUCAGAAUGCCUCACAGCAAGGCAAGAAGAAGAGGAAGAAAAAGAGGUUAGGAUUGAAAGAUGGGGAAUGGGGAGCUGUGUUGGUAAGAGCAGGAGGGACCUGAAGGGAAGGGGGCCUGGGCUGCUAAGGAGUGGGUAAAUGAGAAACCGUGUGUGGAGUAAAAAUCACAACACUUGUGGGUCAUAUAAAAAGAGCCCACUUUUUUUUUUUGCUUCUGGGGGGGCUGGACCCCCAGCAUAUGGAAGUUCCCAGGCUAGGGGUGUGAUCGGAGCUACAGCUGCCAGCCUACACCACAGCCACAGCAACACAAGAUUCAAGCCACGUCUGCGACCCACACCACAGCUCACGGCAAUGCCAGAUCCUCAACCCAGGAGCCAGGGAUUGAACUCGCAUUCUCACGGAUCCUAGUCGGGUUCAUUUCCACUGCACCACAACGGGAAAUCCCAGGAACCCACUUUUGGUAAUCAAAUCAGAAUCAAAUAAUGGCGUGUGUCAUCUAAAACCACACCUGUCCUCAUCUUUAUUCUAUUUGCAUUUAGAAUGCCUUAAAAAAAAAUGUGGGGGGGGAUGAUUUCCUUGUUUUAAGAAAGUACUUAUUGUCCUGGGAAGUUAGUACAUUUUAAAUGUAACAGAACCACGCUGACUUCUUAGGAUCUGACUGCAGCGUCUGCAUUCCAGUCCCUGGUGAAUAUUUUGCCAUACCUUGGUCCAUUCAGGGGAGGCGGGAUGAAUCACCACUCAGACUGAUUGAUGUCAGCUUUCUAAGUCACAGCUUCCCUUAACGGGGGUGGGGAGGCGGUAAGAGGAGGGUGACUGUUAAGUAUUUUGGCCAAAAAGAUGUUCGCUUUCUCUUCCUGAUGGGCCCCUGGAGUCAAAAGAUUGAGGCGAUGAUAUUAAUGUGAUGCUUCAAGCAAAAUCAGCUAAACUCUCCAUACAGAAUUUCUAGCUUGUACACAGAGUAACAGGACCCUGAACCCUUGUUUUCCGUCACUCAGCCACUGUUGGGCUGUGUGUCCUCAGUAGCAGGGAUGUUUGAACCGGGCUUAAUGCGGCCACUUGGGUUUCAUGCAGUCCCAUCUGGGACAGGAUGCCUCUGCGUGCAG